AAACAUUCUUUUAACUCUUCCGUGAUAUUUUCUGAAGCUCUGAAAGAAUUUCCCCUUUUAAAGAAUUGACGUAUAAAAUAUAUGCACUCUCCCACUAGAGAUACGAGCUACUUUAGUCCCGUAUUUUAUUAUUGCAGGGAUAGAUAAGUGGACAGAUGCUGUCAAGCAUUCAAAUAAUCGACCUAUAAAGGGCUAGACAUAGAAAGACAUAAUUUCCCUGACCUCUCCAACACGCAGUCUAUUCUCACUCUGGAGGAUGAAAUGCAAAGACUCAACUCCAAGAAUGAAGUACCCUUGGCUGUGUACAUUUGAGUAAAGAGAGCACUAUAAAAUCAAAAACCAAUGAAAUGGUUUCCAGAACACAGAACUAUUAAGCUUAAGAAAAGGACAGAAGGAACUGAAGAGAGAGGAACUGUUUUGGAGCAUCACACUUCCACCUCAGAAGAAAUAAGGAAGGAAGGAGGAGGGUGUUCCCACGGCUCUUCAACCAGGCCGGCUCUUCAGCCUACAUCCCCAUCUCAUCAAGUAAAAGGGAUUUUUCAACUGGACCAACCAGAUGGUUUAACAGUGCACUCCCACACCAUUCAACUACGCAAGGGAGAUACACUUAACAUAUGCAGUCGUAUAACACCUACUAACAUUUUCAAACAUUAAACCUUUAAAAAAGAGUUCUAAAGAAAUAGAAGCUUGAAGUAUCAUCUCUCAAGUAUAUAGACACUACUUCAUGGUGUGGUAAUAUAUGCAUAUAGAAGCUAGUAAACACCUCCAGGAGAUGCAAAAGGAAUUAGAACUGCCACAAGGUGCAAGCAAAACCUUGAGCUUCUUUAAAAUAUGAAGACUUCGAAGUUAUUUAUCCAAACCAACCUGAUCAUUUCUUAAGAGUGAAUAUACCUUGGAAGACGUGUCCUGCCUUUAGUAGCGUCACAAUGGAUUACAUCCUCUAUAAAGCAGUCUGGGGUGAGAAAAUCGAAUUUGGACACCGUUGAGGAGACUAUUGCAGUCAUCCAAGCUCAAGAUGGUGGAGCUUCAUCCUUGAGAAUAACCAAUGGGGAUAGAUUUAAGAGACACUUAGAGUCUGCAGCCAACAGGGCUGAAUGAGCAAUGGUGUCAGCUUCCUCAAACCACACAGCUGACCGUGGAGAAAGAGAUCGUUUGUCAAAAGACAGUUGAGGUCCUGUUACCGGGGGGAAAAAUGCCAGAAACAAAAGUUCUGUUUUUCCUCUUCUAAUCCUUCACCCAUCUGAGCUAAAGUCUAGACCUAAGGAGGCUACUAAUUCAGGGAUCGAGUAAUCUGCCAAGCAAGAGUUUAUUCAAGCACAGUUUGAAAUAAAGGUUUCAAAUGCAUAGCCUGUCGAUACUUUGGAAGGAUUCUCAUCAUAACGAGUAUGCAAUUUGCUAUAAAGAAGAAUGCCCAUUACGGACUAAAUGUUUAUGUCCUCCUAAAAUUCAUAUGUUGAAGGCCUAACUCUCAAUGUGAUGAUUAUGUGGAGAUGGUGCCUUUGGGAGGAUAUGGGAGGACACCUGAGACGGCAGGCCAGAAGUCACUCAGUAGGAGAAACAUCCGUUAGAAGUAAUAAUGUGGGAUUGCUGAAGUAAAGACUAUAGGAAGAAAAAAGUGUCUGUGUGUAGGAAACGGAAAGGGAGAGAAAAAUACACUGAGAUGGUAAAGUAAGGAAGUGGAAGAUCAGCAGAAUGUGCAGAUGCCAAGCCAUCCAAGAAAAUCAUCUCUUGUGAUUGUUGCGAAGUCAACUAGCUAAUGUGACUCACUGCUAGGCUGUUGGAUCUGAGACUUAUGUGGGAUAAUUUAGAAACUUGCUAGUGUCUUAAGAUCAAUUACUCACCAAUGAGAGUGGCAUUGAACUGUGAAUGUUCCUCCUAGAUUUUCCAUGAAGACUAAUGGUUUUGUCUUGUCUUGAAUUUGUUUUAAUUACAAUUUGUAUACAUCCUGUUCCACCCUGAAAUUUUUAUUUUCCAAAUGGUUUUUCAUUUAAAGAGACUAAAUAAAGGUUCUGACUGAGUUGUA
Molecule: long non-coding RNA, 2023 nt
Organism: Homo sapiens (human)
Lineage: Eukaryota; Metazoa; Chordata; Mammalia; Primates; Hominidae
Product: long intergenic non-protein coding RNA 343
Source: Ensembl